GGGGUUCCAUAUUAUGCGUAAUUAAUUAUAACAACCAACAUUUCCGCCUUCCAACAUUAUCCAAAAAGGUGUUCUAACAACCAGUAUUGGAGGGUAUUCUAUUUUCUUUUUUUUUUCUACGUUUACAUGGUUUCGAUUUUUAUGACUGAAAUAUAUUAAAAAAUAUCAUUUUUUUGCUUUUCUUUUCGUAUUCUCUGCUUCUCUGUUUCUUCUUUUGUUUUUUUUUUCUCUUUUUUGCAGGUACUCAGGGCGAUCAACGGUGCUGCGGAGCCACACUUUACCAUUUUGGUGAAAUGGUGGCAGAGGAGGUGUGCUUGCUGACAUGACAGAGGCGGCAGCUGGAAGGGCUGUUGUCAAGACCACAUGCAACUGUUGAACACCUUUCUCUGGUUGUCUGAAGCAAAAGUUUAAUGAAGGAAAAAAAACCCAAAAAGAAAGAAAAUUACCGAGAAGAAGAGAGACGAAUAUAUCAUUGUGGAGAAGUUGCAGGAAGCUCAACAUCAGUUUGGACAUUUGUUUCUGCAUUUAUACGGCCUCUCAUACAUUUACACACAAUUCCAGAAGUUAUAAAGACAGCAAGAAGCAAAGCCAAAGUUGCCCAUUUCCCAUUAAACUUGAAUGUUUCAGAGACGGUAACACUCAAUUGUUGACGAGGAGUUAUUGUUUGCCUCCAUUUAUUUUUCAAGUCUCUAAUGAAAUGAAAAUGGAAAUGGCUAGAGGGUAAGCUCUAAUGGAUUUUGUAAUUUUUGAACUGGCUAUGAGAAAAUGGCAAUGGCAGGGGAGGGUCUUGUUUUAAAGAGGAUGAGGGUGUUCCCAUGGGCUUAACGGUGUAAUAAUUAAACAUGACUUUUGAAAGCUACACAUGGGCUUCCAAAUUUGCUGAUUUUUCAAAACCUACUUAAUAAAUUGCAGAAAGUUGAUUCUAGAAUUAAUGUUUAAAAAAACGAUGGUGAAUCAUCUUAAAACAUCUCCAUUUUUUGUUUUAAGAUGAUGAAUCAUCUCCAUUUACUUGCCCAAGUAAAUGUGUCGGCAACCUUAGACGUUGGUUGGCCAUUGUUCUUAAGAUAAUACUCCUAACAAAGUUUCAUGAUAUGCAUACGUUAGAACCGUAAAAUAAUAUUUGAUAUAAAACUUAACAAACCAUAAAUUAGGAUUUGUCAUGUCAAAUUAUCAAGAACAAAAUUAGAUGCGGAAAUAUAUCUAAAUUUAUCGAUUUCUUGAAAUUUACAGAUCUUUGGAGUUUUUAUCUUCCAAAUUAGCACACAAGAAAUUUAGAGAAUAUUUGCGCUCUUUUCUAAAGAUCAGAUAAUUAAAAAAAUUUAUUUUGUGUAUAAUUUGGAAUCAUAAAUCUAAUAUAUAACUUUUGCACAUUAACCCUAAUUUCUAAUCAACCCAUCAUCAAUUAGAAAUUAGUUAUUAACGUAUCUACACAUAUUUGGCCCAUACUUUAUAAAUAACUAAAGCCCAAUAAAACUUUACCAAAUUAGAUCAUAUUCAAUUUGGACUAAUAUUUUAUAAUAGUAAAUAAUAACAUGUAAUUAUUUCUAUUAUAUUUGAUGGCAGUAAAAUCGCUUAAAAUUGAUAGAUCAAAGACAACAUAACAAAUAGUUUGUGAUGGUAAAACACCAUACACCUUACUACAACAAGAGUCUCAUUCAUAUAUAAUUCAACAACUCAAUUAUUCAUUACUAAAACUUGGUAACAAACAUAGUUCAUAUCAUGAAUGCGUUCUGAAACAAUUACCUGUUUGAAAUUCGAGAAAAUGAAAAUAAAUAUGUUAAUGGGUAAGAAGUAUAGAGUAACUCAAAAUUCAUUUCGAAGCUACUUAUCAUUACAUAUUUUAUGAAUAAAAUGUGAUGCAAAGGAUAAACGACCAAAUAAAGUAAUCAAUUAAAAGAAAGCAGAACUUGUGGAACAUCAAUUUACAUUGCUCCAAGUCUUAUUAUAUAAUUAGGCAAUACAAGCAUCAGAUUUUGCAUCAAUUAAACAUACUUGAUUGCAACAACUUCAAAUCUACUCAUCCUUUAAAUGAUUUAAGGAUUCUUUUUCUUUUAAUCAUCCUUUAAAUGAUCUAAAGAUUCUUUUUCUUUUAAAAUUCCGAUCAUAUACACAUUGUACCAUACAUUUUUAAGGCUUUUUACAAUAAAAGUAGGAUUCAAGAGACAACACGGAGGGCUAAGCUAAGAAUUUUAUGUAAAUUAUAAAAUGAUAAAAAAGUUUUGAGGGAUUUGAAUUUUAAAUAGGCCACGUUUGCUUUUUUGGUAUAACAUAUAUGAAUUAAUUUACUUAUUGUUUCAAAAAAGAGAAUAAAAUGUAACUUGAUUUCUCUAAAAAAAAUUUAAAGUAAAAAUACCCAUGAUUUCUCUCGAAGUGAUCCAUAAAAGACACUAAAACAGCACAUAAUUUCUUUCCGAAAUGAUCCAUGAAGACACAAAUCUCCAUGUAAUAUAUACAUCUAUAUCAGGGACUAUGCGCAAGUAAUAUAUAUAUAUAUAUAUAUUAUCAACAAACUCGGGGCCAUGCACCGAUUUAAGUUAUAUUUUAGAGGAAUUGGAUCAGUUCUAUAGAUGAACACCUUUUAGGUUUUGUGUUGGAGGAAAGCUGCUUGAGAAAGUUGAUAAAAAUGAAAAAAAAAUGAACACAUUUUGACCCACCUAUAAUACGUUCAUUUUGGGUUUUUUUUUCUAUUUGCUUAUUUGGUUUAGAUAGUUGAUUAUCAGUUUUGAAUAUUCUGAACAAAUCCCUGUAUGAACUCAUUUCAUUUUGAUUCUUUUGUUAUGGCUUCUUCAUGUAUUUUGCCAUUUUUUUCACACAGAUACUUCCUGAGUUAGUUUUAUUAAAGAUUUGAAUUAGAUACUUCCUGAAAUAACAAGCAUUCAAGAUGAUCAAAGUGAACAUCUUAGUUAUAUAUAUAUAGUAUCUAAAAACACUGUUAAUAAAUGUGUUCAUAUUUGAUGCAAAGCAAUGAAGCAAAAUAUUUUAUUAGUAACAAUUUCUUUGCUGUUAAGAAUGUACAAAUCCCCAUAGCUUGAGAGCUUCCAAAUGAAUCUGAUGUUCUUCCUAUCACAACUUCUUGUGUAAUGCAUAUCAUAUAAUUAUUUCUUACAAUUUAAAAUAUGUUUCUAUUUUGCCAAUCAUGGGACUACAUAUUAAUUUCAAAGGCUAUUUUUGGCUACAAUAUACAUAUAUAUAAACCAACCAUCAGGUAUAGUCUAUUGCCAUUAGUGAAUGUAUCGGAUAUUAAGAGUGAAAUAUAUAUUACAAACAACACAUCUAUAUAAAAUCAAACCAGACACUGAUAAGUUCUAAUCAUAUAAUAUAAAACACUACUACAAAAGUACAACCAGUUUUAAACAUUUCUUUGAACUUUUUACUAACUGCAAUAAUUGGUUGCGGGCUUUCUUUUUCUGUGUCACAGUUAGGGGAUCCAUAUUUAUUAUGAGCUUUUCCAGAAUCAUUGCAUUAUCCAAGAAAUAACUAACCAUUUCAAUCAUAUGUGUGUUGAAGCAUGAAAUUUCAAUCUCUUUGGGGUGAAAUGACAAACAAGAAGGAACUUCUAAAGCCUUCCAUUGAGUUCCCGCAACAACCUAAACUCAUGACAAAAAGAAAAAAAAAGUUAUUUGGUUUGUACCAUGAAUUUAGGUGAUCUCGAACAUGCUUUUGAUUUCUUGUAAGUUUAUGUAAUUGUGGAUGUAAUUGACACUAAAACAAUCAACUGCAACAAAUACAUGUACAUAUACAAAGAUUUCAUACCGGAAAAUCAAGGGUAAGUAUCUUUAGAUUAGGCAUACGAUGUAGAAACUCCACAAGCCAAAUUUCUCUCCCAUUAAAACCACGGCCAAGAAAUUCGAAUUCAAUAAGAUUGUGAAAUAUAGGAAGUCGACUUGUUCGGAAAAUCUGCACACACAAACUUGGAGUUGUAAUAUAAUGUUAAAAAGGAAAAAAAAACACAUGAAUACUAAGUUUACUAACCCCUUCAUUAAUGGUUAAACGUAGAGACCGUACAUUGCAAAUUCUUUGAAUAAGAUGAGUUGCAAUUGUUUGAGAAUCAAUGGCAUCACACCCGCAGAUAUUAAUAUGAGCUUUUUCUAGAGACUUCAUGGUACUCAAAGUAUAACCUUGAGCUACAAUGUCAGUAUAUUGAAAAUAAACAAGAUUUGGAGCAUUAAUCACCACCACAUACUUUAAAUCUCCGAAUUCUCGGAGAUCAAAAUCUAAAAUAAAUCUCUUAAGCGAAGGAGUUUGGAUAUUGAUCUCACUUGUAUUAUAAAAAUCACAUUCAAUAAAAGCCAAAUCUUCUAAGACAUGGCAAUUGGAAAUGAACCUAAGAAUGGAAUCACCGAAAUUUGAGUCUCUAAAGUGCAAAGUCUUCAGAUUCCCUAAACAAACGUCAGAUGGGAACUUAAACUUAUGACCUACUGCAUCCAAUUUCAGUGUCACCAGUGAGCCGCAUGUGAAUAAAACAGCUGGUAAAAUAUCCUCAAGAUAACUUAUCUGCAAAUCAAUUUCCUUAACACCACGGCACAAUGCAGCACAUAUCCAACCAGAGAUAUCAAAAUCAUGAUCUCCAUCAUUCCAUGAACAAAUCUCAUGACUUAGCCUAAAGCAAUCUAAACUUACCUGAUCGGGGGAUUUCAAUAACCUAUCAACAAAGUUCUUGAAGCUGUCAAUAUUUCUGUCAGUCAAACCACUCAUUGAAUAAGCAUCAAAUUUAAUGGUAGAAAUUGAAGCAAAGAGGUAUCUCCACUUGGUUGAAAUAAUAGAGGUUCGAACUGCUUCUUUAAUGGGAAGGAAUGACAAAAUAUGACAAAGAAUAGGAUCCGGAAAACUACUGAUCCUGUCUUCGACACACAUCGCCAUAAGAUAAGAAAACUACAGACCGGUCCGACGGCAGGCGAUAGGAACCAGAGAGUUUUUCGCUUUUGUUUUGUUAUGUCUGCCUUGGGAGCAACUUUGGAGACUUGAGAAUAGAGGAGGCCACACAGGAUCGUAUUUGUAGAAGAAAGAAAAAGAAAAGUCUUUGCUUUGCGGAAGCGGCUGGAUAUGCGAAAAUUUAGUGUUAAAUGUCAAUAUUUCCCUACUUUUAUAUAAGAUUUAAGGUUAAUAUCAAAAUUGGUCCCUUAACUUUUACCUAAUCUAUGGGCAUUUACCAUCGAUCUGGUGGUUUAAGUAUUCGUAUUCGUUACAAGCAAUUAAUUGAUUUAGUGUAAGUUACCUUAUCAGAAUUAGAAUUUUUUAUCAUAUUAAUUUCUACUCUACCUUACUCGAGUUCAUUCUCGAGGGAAUCCCAUUUCAUUUAAAGCAUUUCGCUGGAUUCCUUACUCUUUAUUUUCUAAUCUCGUUGGAAAUCAUAUAAAGACACUUUCUAUUUCAGAUAGCUAUUUGUGCAAGUAUUUUACGAUUCAGAACCAACUGUUUCUUGUACAUAUUAUGUAUUAAUCUACUAUAACUGUAGGAUACCCCCACUCCGCUAAUUACUGCAUUUAUUCAAGUGAUCCAAAAACGACGAAAAUCCCUUUUUUUUUCCUAUCUCUUUCUCGAUGAACCCAAACCAAAGCUCUUAUUCUUUAUUAAGUAAUAGUUCGAGUAAGUCUUGAAUGAGCCCCUCGAAAGCUUGAUGCAAAUAAACUAUUUUUUGUUCGACAUCUACGAGCUAUAUAUCCCCGUUUAAUUUUGGUCAUUGAAUAAAAGAAAUUUUGACGAAUAACUAAUUCUUUCUUUUAGUUAUUCUUUUCUAGUCUAUUAAUAACAAAACUGAUUCUUCCAAUAUAUAAAAUAAAAAUUCCAAUGGCUUUUGCUACUCUAACCAUCCCGGCCAUGAUUUUUCCUUUUUUUUAAGCAUUUCAUUUCGCUCUGAAAUAAGAAAUUGUAUUGAUACUAGGUAUAAAAAAAGCAUAUUAACUAAAAUAAAUGAGUAAAUAGAUAUGGAUCAAUAAAUAAUGGGUUCCAUCGUUUCUAUGGUUACUUCUUAAAUGGUGAGGUUCUCUCUAUAAACUGGAGCUCAUUUCUUCAUUUAAUUGGUAACUUGUACAGUUCACACUCUUCGGCUCUACUCAUAAAUUUUCCAGUAAUAGAUUUUUCAAACUCUCAAGAUGGUCAAAUAUUUUAGAUUUUAGUUUUUUUCAAAGCUUAAUGAUAAAUUUGGCCACUAAUAUUUGCAUGCUCUGUCAAAAUGACCCUAAUGGUAAAAAAUAAUGUUUGCAGGUAUAAUGGAAAUUUUAAAAGAAAUAAAUAUAUAAAAGAAAUAAGACAUGUGACAAAUUUAUAACUCUAAUUAUGGCGUAAAAAAGUGUACUGCAGUGUAUCAAAUAGCACUCACCCUAAAAUUAUUGACUAAUUAAACAUUUUAUAAAAAAAUUUAAUGUGUCAACAAAUGAUUAAGAAAAACAUUGACACUUAAUAUUAAUCACCACUAAGUUAUAAAUUAUUAAUUAUAAAAUAAAGAGAGAUGGAGAAAGUAAAGAACAGAGAAAAUAUGAAAGCAAUAGAGGAUGUGCUUUAUUGAUAAAAAAAGAGUAAUUACAAUGCUUCAUUAGAGUCUCUAUAUAUAGACAUAAAAAGUAUUAAACAAGUAGAGAUCUAAUUCUAAUAACUAUUAGAAUUUAAAGGACAUUAAAACCUUAUCUUGAUCAUGAUGGACAUCUACUUAAUAAUAUAUUCAUAGCUCCCCCUUGGAUGUCUAUUGGUAGAUAAUGUGCCUUGUUAAAACUUUAUUAGGAAAAACCCUGUGGGAUAAAAACCUAAUAAAGGAAAAAGAGUACACAAUCUAUAGUAUAUAUGCAUAAUAUGGUGCCUCAUUAAAAAUCUUACCAGGAAAACUCAAUGGGACAAAACCUCGAUUAAGGGAAAAAAAGUGCAACACGUAUUUACUCCCCUCAUAAAAACAUCACAUAUUUUCUCAUAUUUUAUGUAUUCAAUCUUAAAUCCUAGUUUUUCAAAUGACUAUUUAAAUGUAUUUACUAAGCAUUUAAGUAGAGAGAGAAGUACAUUUAAAAACCAAAGGAGAAGUACACAAUAGAUGCACCAGCAUUCCAAUAUUACACGAUUAGGUUAAGCACAUGACAUGAACCAGCAAAAAUAUUAGAAACAAACAGCAGGAGCAUUAGAGUAAAAAUAUUCAACCAAACACACAAGGCUCCAGCAGAAGCAAUUAAAAAUCAUUAAAUUUAUUAAAAAUAUUUUAUAGAUUCGUAUAAUCGCAGAAGCAAAAGCCUGCAUUAGAGAGAGGUUUUUUUUUUAAUUAUUACAUAUUCGUAUAAUAGUAUAACAUCUCCUCCAGCAGUAAUAGGCUCGUUGACCUGCAAACCAAAAAAAGAUUAGUGAGGAAUCAGUUCCAUUGUUGAUAAAUUAUACAGUCUUAUUGUCACAAGUUGGCUAUCCGGUUUUGAAAAUAAAGUUGGAAUAUGAUUACUUUUUAUUUGUAUUUAUGUUUUGGAGAUUAUACUACAUGCACGCAUUUUAUGAAUUAGUAAAAUUAUAUUAAUGGAGAUCCCCCUUGCAAAAUAUAUUAAAAUGAAAAAAAGAAAAAAGAACAUGCAACAAACUUCGGCUUCGGAAGGGUUUAUGUUUAUCAAUGUUUUGGGGUUUAGAGGACUCCAGGAAAAAACCAGUUUCAAUUUAAUAGCGCAAGAAAAUGUGGGGUUGCAAGGAAAGGUUAUAAGAACAUGAAAAGAAAGAUUAGAUAAUUUGUUAUUAAACCUGCUUAAUUAGAUCUUCAAGGGAACUAAUUUAAAGUUUAGGGGUUUAAUUAAAUUUUUUAAAGAAAUGGAAAUGAAUGAGAGUUUCCAAAAAUUGGAAAGAGAUAAUAAAAAAAAGGCAUCUUUUUGGGGUUAAAUAAGGGUCUUUUGGCUGGGAAAAAAACUCACUUGGGAUAAAUCGGCAGAUUGUAGAGAUGAUGAAUUGAUGUUAUACGAGGAAAUUAGCUAACAGGUGAUCUGUUACAGGAGAAGAAGAGAUUCCUAACAGCUACUAGGUUGGCCGGAGAAACUCCACCAGAGCCUGGUGAUUGAAAAGGUCGACGAGCGUUAUUCCCGAGGAUUGAAAAGGAAUAUGCCAUACAAACGAGAUGAACAAUAUUUAGUACAGUGGUAUGGGUAUAAUUAAUUAUAUAUACGGAGGAUCAUCCCCCAUAGUUUCAUGUUAUACUUUAAUACAUAGUUUCGAAUAUGAAUACCUUUUAUUUGUACUUAUGUUUUGAAGAUUAUACUACAUGCACGUAUAUUAUGAAAUAGGAAAAUGAUAUUAAUGGAGAUCCCAUUGCAAAAUAUAUGAAAGAACAAAACGAGAUGACAGAUAAAAACAAUUUGGACCAGUAAGAUAAUGAAGGAAUAACUAAGCAACUAUGGCUCUUCUACUGUGUUUCAUUGGUGUGGUCAUUAUGGCUUGCUAGAAAUGAACUGCUUAAUAACAUUAACAAAAAUUGGUUUUGGAAAGAUGGAAAGGUUUAUCAAAACGAAAUACCAAAGAAUUGGUUUUGGAGAAGUUUAGCAAGAAAGCUGUGGGAGAAAGGGAAGGUGGGUUCCUGGUUUUCGAUUUCAUCCAUUUGAGGAAGAGCUCGUAGCGUUUUUGUCUUAGACCAAAAGUUGACAGGAAGCCCCUCAGAAUCGACCUAAUCAAACGCAUUGAUAUUUACAACUUUGAUCCCUGGGAUCUCCCAAGUAUGUUCUAAAAUUCGGUUAAUAUACGAGAUUGCACCGGUGCCAACACAACCCACAACAUCACCAUUAAAACCAGCAAGGAAAAAGGUCGACGGUAAGAAUCCAGUGGGUCUCGUUUUAACCCACCCAUAUUUUUGGGGCAAAGAACCGGUUACCGAUGAGGUUAUGAAUCCAGCCAUAAGGGCGAAAAUGGAAGGGAUUGGCAAUUGGUGUAGCUGAAAAGGAUAUACUGAGAUAUAGAGGGUCUUAUUUUUGGUACAUAGUCAAAACGAUGGGGUUUUAGGUUUGUUUAAAAGUUGGGAGAAAAUUUUUUUUAGAUGCCUUAAAAAUUGAUAAACAAAUUUUUUGAGUCCCUUCAAAAUGGAAAAAUAAUAUUUUGAACUCUUUUCAAUUUUGGACGUUGGGCGGCUACAUCUCCGGACGACCUAGGGCCGGGCCUGCUGGUACAACUACGGAGAAGUUGAAGAACAGUGGGUGGGGUGGUGAAGUGGAGAUGAUGGAGGGUCAAGGAGAAGACCAUGGAGGAAAGCUUCAAAAGAUUGAAAUCUGAGACGGAAGAAAUAAGCGAAGAACAAAAGAAUAUCAGGGAAGGGCAAAGGCAAGUGAAAGAGAAAUUCGGAAUCAUCGAAUCCGAGUGCGAGGAAUUGAAGAGGGAAACUAGGCUCAUAAUCCAGCGAAGUGCCAGAAGUCAGGUUAAACUUUAUUGCGCGGAAGCGUGUGAAAGAGUAAAAUUAUUGUACUGAAAAAUCACACUAAGUUCAAUUCCCAGGAAAGAGAGGUGGAUCACGAGGAUCGCUUACAUACCAGAUCUUUCCUAGCCAGAAUAUCCCUCUAUCGUAAUUUAAUAGCGCAAUAAAUCACUACAAUGACACUUGCAAAAUAUGCAGAACAAAAAUAAAGAACACUAGAAUUUUAACGAGGUUCAGCAAAUUUUGCCUACGUCCUCAGGCACUACCAAAUAUAUUUCACUCCAAAAAUACAAGUGAAAGUUUACAAAUAGGGAGAGAGAACAAUUGCCUUAAGUAGAGAAUGGCAAGUGUGGGAUGAAGAAAGUAAGAAAUGGUUAGGCCUAUUUAUAGUUGAGGUUCAAGGAUCAACUUGCAAUGUCCCUAUACAAUUAGGGACCAAAAUUGCAAUUAUCCCAUGCCAACUUUUAACCCAACUUGCCAACCAAUUUUACUUUCUACUUUCGGUGCCCACCCUUUUUGACUUUUCAAACAAUGGGUGGGUUCCAAUAAACUUGCUCCUUUAAUUUUCUUUAGUAUAUUACAAAUAGUGGGAAGUCAUUAGCAAGGCUCUUCCUUAGAUCUUAAGGCUUUAACCAUGUGCCCCUUCCUUUGGGGUUGUUGACAGGUUAAAUUUGCUCUUAUGUGUUCCAUUUAAGCAAACCGCUAAGCUAAAGAAGUUGCAAGGGUCUUGAAACCCGAUGAAGAAGCACCAUUUUCUUUAAGGGUUAUUCUUCGAUUUUUGUGAAAAAAAAGAGUAAAUCUUGUUUCUAAUUUUCAAAAAAAAAAUUCAAGAACUUUAUUAAACUUUUUUUAAAUUUUAUUAACUUUUUUAUAAUUUUAAAACUUUUUUAAUAAUUAAAGCAAAAUUAAAAAGAAUAAGGGUCAAGUUGACAAAAAUUGUAAAAGUUGAGAGGCUAAAUUUAUAAUUUACUUAAUUUUUUAAUAAAGUUAAAAAGAAAAAAAAAUUAGGGGAGAAACUGGAAAUCAAAAAGUAAAAAUCUUAAUUUUAAAAAAAUAAAAAAAAGUAUAAAGAAUAUCCUCAAAAGUUAACAUUUCUAUUAAUCUGAAACAGUUAUUGAUCUUCUCUUCUCCAUGACCUUACUCUCAAACACAUUUCUGCAUUUGAAGUGUUUCGAUUUAAUAAAAGUUAACAAAAGAAAUCAUAUUAUAAUUAACAUUUUUUUUAAACAAAAACCAUAUUAUAUAAUUUAAUAAAAUUUAUGUUUUAAUUCCUAAUUUUUCCUUCUUGAAUUUGGUCGUUCUUCUGUAAAUAAAUUAGUAUAGUUUUCGGUUCAAGAUUGGUAUUGGUUUAAUUAUUUAUUUGUAUCAAAUUAUAAAAUAAAUUUUGAAGGUUAAAAUAUGCUUUAAGUCCUUAACCACUUCGUACAUUUAGAAUUUAGUUAUUUUACAUUUAUUUUAGUAAUUUAGUCUUUUUAUUUUUUAAAUUUAAUAAUUUAGGUCUAAUUGUUACUGCCGUUAAAUUUUUUCUAUUAAAAAUUAUAGCGUCACAUUUUGAAGUUUUAAAAAUAGAAGAAUAACCCUUAAAGAAAAUGGCGCUUCAUCGGGCUUGAAGACCCUUGCAAUAAAGAAGGUUGCGGGUCUUUGAAAAAUAGAAGGAAACCAUGCAAAAGAAAAAUGGAUAUGAAGACUUUUUUCCCUUCUGGGUACCCAUUUUUUAGAAGAAGGGAGAAUGAAGGUUUUGUUUGUUAGUUUUAGUUAUUAUGAAAAGUCAUGAGAGUUGAGGGAAUAUAAAAGAAGAAAGUGCGAAAAGUUGAAAUAGAAGGAAUUUUUUCAAUGUUUAUUAAUAUGAAAAUUAAAUUUUUAAUUGGUAAGAAUAAAUUCAUAGUUAAUUAUUGAUUAAUGUUAUGAAUAUAUUGUUAAGUGGAUGUCCAUCACGAUCAAGAUUAAAUUCUUAUAGUUAUUAGAAUUAGAUCUCUACUUCUUUUAUACUUCUUUUACCUAUAAAUAGAGACUCAGAUGAAGCAUUGUAAUUACCCAUUUUUAUCAAUAGAGUACAUCAUCUAUUGCUUUCAUAUUUUCUUUGUUCUUUAUUCUCUCGAUCUCUCUUUAUUUUAUAAUACGUUAUCAGUACUAUCUUGCUCAAAGUAAUAAUAGUUCCUUUCAUCGACGAUCAAAUUUAUCCUUCAUGAUUUUCAAUAUCUUUGAUGGCAAGAUGCAAAGUUUUUACACGAAGUUUUUACACGAAGUUUCUUUUAUUUAAUAUUUCAUAUCUGAUUAUUAUUUUUCUUUCCUCUUUCAUUAUAUGUGAUCAUUGUUUUGAUUAACUUAUUUUAUUUUUUGUUCUUAAGGACGGUGAAAGAUUUGAUAACGACUAUCUAUAUGAAAUCGAGAAGUAAGAUUCACUCUCAAAGUUUGCUUUUUGAUAUUUGUUUAGGGAUAAUCUUUUUUUAUUAAUUACAAAGGAUGUUUAUAAUCACUACUUCUCAUCCAUGUUAACGUAAGUCAAUCUAAUCAACUUCUUUUGAAAUUUGAUUUGAUUUCUAUUAAAAAUGUUCAAUUUAUAUAAUUCACUAUCCGUAUCUCUAUGAAUUUAUAAAACCCUUCACACAUUUAGUUAUUGAGAUUUUUAUGUGGAUAUAAAUAUUUUUUUUCAUUUUUAAUAGAAUUGAUUGGUUUAAUUUUGAUUUUGAUUAAGAUAUAUGAUUAUUGUGAAAUGUGAGUAAAAAUACUUACUUAUCAUGAACUUUGGGAUAUUCAUUUUAUCUGUGAUAAUUUCUUAUCAUUGUAAAGCUUUAGAUGAAAUUAUGUCAUAAGAGGUGGAGGUUAGACCAUGUUUAUGUUUAAACUUUUAUAGCUGUAAAGUUAUUUUAAUUUGACAUUAUAAAAUUUUGUAUUUUGUUGUGGUAUGAUAUAUAAAAUAUAUAUUAUCUAACUAUAGUGAUUUAUUAGUGACAUGAAUUUAUUAUUUGUUUUGUUUAACAUAUGUUAUAUUGAUAUCUAUUCAUUUUAUUUAUAUGAAUAAAUAAAAUUUUAUUUAUUUGAAUAAAUAAAAUUUUAUUUAUUUGAAAUUUUUUAUUUAUUGUUUUAUUAAAAAGUCAACCUAUUUUGACUAAUACAUCUUUUUAUAAUAAUAAUAAUAAUAAAAGCUGAAAAAGUUAAAAAGUAAUGAAAGAGAUUAUUCUCGUGCGGGAGAGAGAGUCGGUAAGCAAGACGACAAAUACCAUGACACGUGUUCAGUACUAAAGAGGGCAAAAGUGUGGGGCCAUCCUGGUCCAGUCCGUACGCAAGCUUUUCUUUUUUAUUAAAUCAUUAAAUAUAGAUUAUGCUAAAAAUAGGUGGGAAAAACAUACUGAUCUUUAGUACCAAAAAUAAAUAAAGAAGCUACAUCACACCAGAAUUAAUGGUUUCAAUUAGUUUGACCAAAAUAGAUCAUAAUUUUAAUUAGUGCGAAAAAAAAGUGGUUUAUUACUAAAAUAGUGCACAUAUGCUAAAAUUAGUGUGAAACCAACUACAUUGAUUUCAACACUAAAAGAUAAAAAUUGGUUUCUAAAGAAAAUCUAUGUAAUUGAUAAUCAAUUUAAUGGUUUGAAGUAUAAUUUGAACUUCCAAUUGACUACAUUAUUUUUAUUUCUACUGUAAAUUUUAAAAGAAUUUAUAAUAUUUUACUAUAAUAAAAUUCCACUUUAAAACUUACCUUAAUAUAAUCAUAUUUUAGUUUUUUUUAAUUCAAUUUAAUACAUAAGCUUUAAAAUCCUUAUUUAAUCUAAAAUCUUAUCUCUAAUUAUUUUUUUAAUGUGCCAAGCAUUUAAUUUCAAAAACAUUUUUCAAGGCGAAUUUUCAACAUAAUUAAUACGAAAUAUGUUUAGCAUUAGUUUCAAAACCCCCUUUCAAAGUAAACUAACUUUUUAAACUUCCUUCUAAAAAAACUUUUAAGUUAGAAGGAUCCAUGAAAAAGAAAUUUUAGAAACUUAAUUUAAUGGAUAAAGUCGAACUUAAAUUCUUCUCUCCAUCCAAUUAUCCAAAGCCAUUCAUUUGAAAGCUCUGUUUCUACUGACGUACCCUUGUCUCUUUCUCAAAAUUAGAGAAACAAGGGCAGGGGAAUGAAAAUCUGCAACUUGUGGUACAACUAAAACCUCACGUCAGUUGCCGAAAACUGCCAUAUGAUGUAUACGUGCAUGUUACAUAAAUAGUAAAUACUAAUGGAUAAAAUCGAACUUAAAUUCUCGUAAUUGGGUGGGCAGUUAAUUAUGUAAGUAGGAUAAAGGCAAUCCAACACCAGGAUUUGACAGUCCAUCCGAUUUCCACCUCGUGGCUCUGGAAAUACGGGCUUUCCCUUUCUCAAUACAUAUAAUUAAUUAGUAAUUAAGACUGGGGAUUAAACUGCUUGUCAAUUUAUGAAAUCCCGUCUUAAUGCGAGUUUGAGGUCUUAAUACAAAUUUAGUAUCGUGAGAUGACUGAUCAUUGGUCCCAUAAAAUUUCUUUUUAUUGAUACCUAUUAUUUGUUACGUUUAAUAUAUACCUGUUCAUUUUAUUUUUAGAUGAAUAAAUAAAAUUUUAUUUAUUUGAAAUUUUUUAAAUAUCAAGAUUUAUAGAAUUAAACCAUUAAAAGAAAACUAUAAUAUUAUAAUUAUCUAUGAUAAAACUCAAAAAUAUUCGAACAACAUUUUUUGAAAGUUUUGGAGCAGCUUAGACAAGACAUACGUUUUCAUAUAUACGUUUCGGAAGCCAAAUUAAUUCGGUGAUUCAAUUCCUCUGUUAUUUGGAGAUUUUCCGCUUUACGCAAUCUCUUUAUUUCUCUAUUUUUAUUGUUUCCUUUUAUUAUUUCAACACUGCUUCCCCAUCUUCAUUCUUCUUUAUAUUUUAAAACUAAUACUUUUAUUUUUAUUUUUUUCCAAAAAGAAAAAGGGUUUAUGUAAAUAUAUACUUACAAAUUAAUAUAGAAUUGAAUCGGAUUAAUUGUACUAUUCAAGUUGAAAAGGGUUUUGGAGAAGUUUAGCAAGAAAGUUGUGGGAGAAAGAGAAGGUGGGUUCCUGGGUUUCGAUUUCAUCCAUCUGAGGAAGAGCUCGUAGCGUUUUUGUCUUAGACCAAAAGUUGACAGGAAACCCCUCAGAAUCGAGAAAUUCUGAGAUGGAAGAAAUAAGCGAGGAACAAAAGAAUAUCAGGGAAGGGCAAAGGCAAGUGAAAGAGAAAUUCGGAAUCAUCGAAUCCGAGUGCGAGGAAUUGAAGAGGGAAACUAGGCUCAUAAUCCAGCGAAUUGAAGAGUGGGAAGUCAUUAGCAAGGCUUUUCCUUAGAUCUUAAGGCUUUAACCAUGUGCCCCUUCCUUUGGGUUGUUGACAGGUUAAACUUGCUCUUAUGUGUUCCAUUUAAGGAAACCACUAAGCUAAAGAAGUUGCAGAGUUCAUGAACCAGGGUAAGGCAAGUAGCUGUAAGAAAGCAACAAAAGAAGAAGAAGAUGGUGGCUUUGUUGUUGGACGGCUGCUUAUUGGUCAUUAUGGUUGGCUAGGAAUGAACUAAUUUUCCAGAGAAAGAUUUUGCCUAUCGAUGAAAUUAUCUUCCUAACCAAUCAUCGAUCAUUACAAAGAAUAUAGAAACCUGUUUCAUUACUUAAGGCCAAAUUUGGGGGUAAUGGGGGGUGUUGUCAAGACCACAUGCAACUGUGGAACCCCUUUCUCUGGUUGUCUGAAGCAAAGGUUUAAUGAAGGAAAAAAAAACCCCAAAAAGAAAGAAAAUUACCGAGAAGAAGAGAGACGAAUAUAUCAUUGUGGAGCAGUUGCAGUUGCAGUUGCAGGAAGCCCAACAUCAGCUUGGACAUUUGUUUCUGCAUUUAUACGGCC
Molecule: long non-coding RNA, 15181 nt
Filed under: Gossypium barbadense (sea-island cotton)
Lineage: Eukaryota; Viridiplantae; Streptophyta; Magnoliopsida; Malvales; Malvaceae
Description: long non-coding RNA (GBAR_LNC013967)
Source: RNAcentral